CCUUCUUGGAUAAACUUUUUUUUUCAAGAAAAUGAUAUGCUUACCAACAAAUACCUUUUGUUGAGUAGGGCUAUAGAAGUAGUAUCCUAUACUCUUCUUGGAAUAGCCUACAAACCUGUAUUUUUCUGAUCUAGCAUCCAGCUUAUGUCCAUCAAUAUUUUUCAUAGAAGCUGGACAACUCCAAAUCUUAAAAUGCUUAAGAUUGAGUCUUUUUUCUUUUCAUAUUUUAUAUGGAGUGCUAGAAACAGAUUUAGAAGGUACUUAUUUAAGAUAUACGCUGCGACCUCGAAAGCAUAUCCCUAGAAGGAUAGCGAA
Molecule: long non-coding RNA, 315 nt
Filed under: Elaeis guineensis (African oil palm)
Lineage: Eukaryota; Viridiplantae; Streptophyta; Magnoliopsida; Arecales; Arecaceae
Description: long non-coding RNA (EGUI_LNC041590)
Source: RNAcentral